This is a long non-coding RNA of Nothoprocta perdicaria, 435 nucleotides long. RefSeq lists it as uncharacterized. Lineage: Eukaryota; Metazoa; Chordata; Aves; Tinamiformes; Tinamidae. The record is from RefSeq and is a predicted model, not a curated record. The transcript has 2 exons.
CUGUAACUUUGCAAAUGCUGCCUCAAUGUGGUGUUUUGGGGGCCCUACAGGCUGAAGUUCUCCAGAAUUUUUUUCGUGACCUACAUAAUUGACCUAUAUUAUGUGUCUAUGUCUUAAACAGGUUACACCAACCAGAAAUAUGAAUGGAAAUGGCCUAGUUAUUUAUUUAUACUGAGCUCGUCAGUCCAGAAGGAAUUGCUUGAAAUCUAUGCUGAUGGUGGAAUCUGGUGAAUGACUGAGGUUUUGGGGGAAAAAAAAGCUUCUGAAUUUAAUGGAAUUGCCCCUGCUCCCAGCAUGGAUAUGUGUGGCUUUUUACAACAACAUGCAGAGCCUGGCAAAAUGGCCUUGAGGAGCAGAUUUGGAGUAGGGCUGAAGACCAGAUGUCUGCUGCUACAACCCAACCAGUUCCACCAACACUGCUGUUGGACAGUUCCU